RNAcentral lists this ribosomal RNA (565 nucleotides) under uncultured archaeon WSB-8. Its description in RNAcentral is "bacterial SSU rRNA". It matches the Rfam family "Bacterial small subunit ribosomal RNA", at positions 921 to 1482 of the family's 1533-position model. The record is from RNAcentral.
CCGCACAAGCGGUGGAGCAUGUGGUUCAAUUCGACGCAACGCGAAGACCCUUACCUGGGCUCGAAAUGCAGGAGACCGGGGUAGAAAUAUCCUUUUCUCGCAAGAGACUGCUGUAUAGGUGCUGCAUGGCUGUCGUCAGCUCGUGUCGUGAGAUGUUGGGUUAAGUCCCGCAACGAGCGCAACCCUCAUCCCUAGUUGCCAUCGGGUCAAGCCGGGCACUCUAGUGAAACCGCCCCGGAUAACGGGGAGGAAGGUGGGGAUGACGUCAAGUCCUCAUGGCCUUUAUGUCCAGGGCUACACACGUGCUACAAUGGUCGGUACAAACCGUCGCAAACCUGCAAAGGGGAGCUAAUCGGAAAAAGCCGGCCUCAGUUCGGAUUGGAGUCUGCAACUCGACUCCAUGAAGCUGGAAUCGCUAGUAAUCGCAGAUCAGAACGCUGCGGUGAAUACGUUCCCGGGCCUUGUACACACCGCCCGUCACAUCACGAAAGUGGGCUGCACUAGAAGCCGGUGUGCCAACCCGCAAGGGAAGCAGCCGUCCAAGGUAUGGCUCAUGAUUGGGGUG